CCUACGGGAGGCAGCAGUGGGGAAUAUUGCACAAUGGGGGAAACCCUGAUGCAGCGACGCCGCGUGGGUGACGAAGUAUUUCGGUAUGUACAGCCCUAUCAGCAGGGAAGAAGAUGACAGUACCGGACUAAGAAGCCACGGCUAAGUACGUGCCAGGAGCCGCGGAAAUACGUAGGGGGCAAUAGUGAUCCGGAUUUACUGGGUGUAAAGGGAGCGUAGGUGGCAUGGCAAGCCAGAAGUGAAAAACCGGGGCUUCACCCCGCAGAUUGCUUUUGGAACUGUCAGGCUGGAGUGCAGGAGGGGCAGGCGGAAUUCCUGGUGUAGCGGUGAACUGCGUAGAUAUCAGGAGGAACACCGGUGGCGAAGGCGGCCUGCUGGACUGUAACUGACACUGAGGCUCGAAAGCGUGGGGAGCAAACAGGAUUAGAUACCCUUGUAGUC
RNAcentral lists this ribosomal RNA (441 nucleotides) under uncultured bacterium. RNAcentral describes it as "partial 16S ribosomal RNA". It matches the Rfam family "Bacterial small subunit ribosomal RNA", at positions 338 to 795 of the family's 1533-position model. The record is from RNAcentral.